Pantherophis guttatus is the source of this 360-nucleotide non-coding RNA. NCBI's taxonomy places the organism in Eukaryota, Metazoa, Chordata, Lepidosauria, Squamata, Colubridae. The record is from RefSeq and is a predicted model, not a curated record.
GGAUGAGCCUUCGCUGCAUACCAAGAGACAGGAGUGUAUUUAUUGUACAAGAGUCUGUUGGUUCAGCUGGGUGGCUACAGAAAUGGAAUGAAUUAAUGAGAAAAUAAAACAUCUUACUGGCUAAUUAACUACAUUUUGGCAAAGCUUUCCCAGCCACCUCUCUUGGCCGGAGAACAAAGAAAGAGAGAAGCAAGUGAAGGAAUGUGGACAUGCGCAGUUAGCUUACUGAUAAGAACUUGGCAAGCUAUGUAGGUGGCAGGACCUAACCCAUCAGAGCUGAACUUAAAAAAAAAGAAGAAGCUAAACACGUUGGACUGGGUUAGUAGUUGGACAGAGGAUCAUCAAGCAAUUUUAUAGACU